CGAAGAACCUUACCUGGUCUUGACAUAGUAAGAACUUUCCAGAGAUGGAUUGGUGCCUUCGGGAACUUACAUACAGGUGCUGCAUGGCUGUCGUCAGCCCGUGUCGUGAGAUGUUGGGUUAAGUCCCGCAACGAGCGCAACCCUUUUCCUAUUUGCCAGCGGGUUAAGCCGGGAACUUUAAGGAUACUGCCAGUGACAAACUGGAGGAAGGCGGGGACGACGUCAAGUCAUCAUGGCCCUUACGACCAGGGCUACACACGUGCUACAAUGGUCGGUACAAAGGGUUGCUACCUAGCGAUAGGAUGCUAAUCUCAAAAAGCCGAUCGUAGUCCGGAUUGGAGUCUGCAACUCGACUCCAUGAAGUCGGAAUCGCUAGUAAUCGCGGAUCAGAAUGCCGCGGUGAAUACGUUCCCGGGCCUUGUACACACCGCCCGUCACACCAUGGGAGUUUGUUGCACCAGAAGUAGGUAGUCUAACCGCAAGGAGGACGCUUACCACGGUGUGGCCGAUGACUGGGGUGAAGUCGUAACAAGGUAAGCGUAGAUGA
RNAcentral lists this ribosomal RNA (547 nucleotides) under uncultured bacterium. RNAcentral's name for it is "bacterial SSU rRNA". It matches the Rfam family "Bacterial small subunit ribosomal RNA", at positions 962 to 1509 of the family's 1533-position model. The record is from RNAcentral.